RNAcentral lists this ribosomal RNA (1438 nucleotides) under uncultured prokaryote. Its description in RNAcentral is "partial 16S ribosomal RNA". It matches the Rfam family "Bacterial small subunit ribosomal RNA". The record is from RNAcentral.
AGAGUUUGAUCCUGGCUCAGAUUGAACGCUGGCGGCAUGGCUAAAGCAUGCAAGUCGAACGAUACAGUGGCGAAAGGGCGAGUAAUGCGAUCGAACGUAUCCCAAGGUGGCGGAUAGCCUGGAGAAAUUCAGGGUAAUACGCCAUGUGCUCUAUGGAGGAAAGCUUUGGCGCCUCGGGAGCGGCGAUCGUCCUAUCAGCUUGUUGGUGAGGUAAAGGCUCACCAAGGCGAAGACGGGUAGCGGGUGUGAGAGCAUGACCCGCCGCAUCGGGACUGAGACACUGCCCGGACUCCUACGGGAGGCUGCAGUAACGAAUAUUCCGCAAUGGGCGAAAGCCUGACGGAGCAAUGCCGCGUGUAGGAUGAAGCGCCUUCGGUGUGUAAACUACUGUCAGAAUCUCGGAAACACUGACCAGAUUCAAAGGAAGGACCGGCUAAUUCCGUGCCAGCAGCCGCGGUAAUACGGAAGGUCCAAGCGUUAAUCGGAAUUACUGGGCUUAAAGCGUGCGCAGGCGGACUAGUAAGCGUCUUGUGAAAUCCCUCGGCUCAACCGGGGAACUGCAGGGCGAACUACUAGUCUUGAGUCAGGUAGGGGCCGACAGAACUAUCGGUGGAGCGGUGAAAUGCGUAGAUAUCGAUGGGAAUGCCAGUGGCGAAGGCGGUCGGCUGGGCCUGUACUGACGCUCAUGCACGAAAGCGUGGGGAGCGAACGGGAUUAGAUACCCCGGUAGUCCACGCCGUAAACGAUGCGCACUAGGUCGAUGCGUCUCUGACGGCGUGUUGGCCGAAGAGAAAGUGUUAAGUGCACCGCCUGGGGAGUACGGUCGCAAGGCUAAAACUCAAAGGAAUUGACGGGGGCUCACACAAGCGGUGGAGCAUGUGGCUUAAUUCGAAGCAACGCGAAGAACCUUAUCCUGGGUUUGACAUGCAUGGAUUAGCUCUGUGAAAGCAGAGUGACGCGGUCGGGUGGAACGUGCACAGGUGCUGCAUGGCUGUCGUCAGCUCGUGCUGUGAAGUGUCGGGUUAAGUCCCUUAACGAGCGCAACCCUUGUCGCUAGUUGCCAGCGAGUCAUGUCGGGGACUCUAGCGAGACUGCCGGUGUCAAACCGGAGGAAGGUGGGGAUGACGUCAAGUCCGCAUGGCCUUUAUAUCCUGGGAUGCAAACGUGCUACAAUGGCGUGUACAGAGCGAUGCAAGGCCGCGAGGCGGAGCAAAUCGCAAAAAGCACGCCCCAGUUCGGAUUGCAGGCUGAAACUCGCCUGCAUGAAGUUGGAAUCGCUAGUAAUCGGAGAUCAGCUACGCUCCGGUGAAUACGUUCCUGAGCCUUGUACACACCGCCCGUCAAGUCAUGGAAGCCGGGAGCGCCCGAAGUCGCCCCAUCUCAGGGGUGCCUACGGCGAGAUCGGUGACUGGGACGAAGUCGUAACAAGGUAACCGUA